RNA transcript from Strongylocentrotus purpuratus (purple sea urchin), 3987 nucleotides. It is a transcript of the gene named formin-like protein 13, with no coding region annotated. The transcript is spliced from 6 exons. The record is from RefSeq and is a predicted model, not a curated record. Lineage: Eukaryota; Metazoa; Echinodermata; Echinoidea; Camarodonta; Strongylocentrotidae.
AUAUAUAUAUAUAUAUAUAUUAGCGUGGAUGGUACCUUUGGGAGACAAUAGGGGGUUUGAGCAGGUAUAUUACGGAGACAAAAUGAAUAGGGAGACAAUUUUGUGUCUCCCUAACGUUUCAGCAUGUAUUUUACGUACUUUCCAAACAGAUCAGCUCAGUUCAACACAUAUCGGUUGCAUCCGUUUUUCCCCGCUUGUUUCAUAGCCUGGUCCAUUAUAUUGAGGGGGUCAAUAAAUUGCAGAUAAUCAAAGGGACAUUUUGUCUCCCUAUAUUUGGCGUAGUUACAAAACUACAUUGUGGAGACUUCAUGUUUUUUCUUAAUUACUAAAAAACUAGGCUCUAUAUUUUCAUUAUAUUACAUGUGGGGGUCUUUUUUUCGUAUUUGUGAGAAACUGACACAGAAUUUAAAAAAAGUUUUGGCUCCAUGUUAAAUAUACACCCCUUUUGGAACAAAAUUUUGUCAAAAAAUCGUGACGUCAUCACCCCCAUAUAUCAGUGCAUACUAAAUGCACGUACAUGCAAUGUGCAUGUGCUGCGCUGUCAUGUCGAUGUACCAGAGGCUACUGAUGAUGUGAUGUCUUCUAUCACAACGAGAUCAGAGGAGCGGACCCCUAUUCGCUGCAAAACAUCCUGCAAGACGAGAAGAGUGCUUCUUAAAAGGUGUUGGAACAGGCAGUCAUACAUUGGCCAGCCAGCAGCCAUCAGUGUCCAGCAGUAGGCAGCCACUGGUAUCCAGCAGUAGGCCACUACAGAGUCAGACAAUGCAGACCCAGAAAAGUACAAUGGUUGGUCAAAGAAGGAAGCGUAUAAAGCCUGACAAAGAAGCAGAGAUAUAUAUCAGAAAACAGGAAGACAAACAAGGUUUUGUUGUCAAGGAAAUUCCUCUGAAAGGAAGAGGAGUAGUGACUCCAGAGGAAUUUGACAAUGGAGAUUUCCUCUUGCAGUAUCCAGGAAAACUACUACCUGAAAGUGUGGCUGAAGCUCUGGAGGAGGAUGAAGGCCAUCCAAGUGUUUUUCGGUAUUUUUUCUCAUUCAAGGGAAAAACCAGCUGAUCCGUGGAGACUAAUGAUAUGUCCUCCUUUUUCAGUUAUGAUGCCACAGAGGAAACAGAAAAGGGGCCUUCUUAUGGAAGACUUGUAAAUCAUGGGGAGCCACAUGAGCGCAACUGUAACAUGAAGGUUAUUUCUGUGGAAGAUGUACCGUACUUGUGCCUUUUUGCCUCAGAGACCAUAAGAGUUGGCAGUGAGCUACUUUAUGAUUAUGGUUUACCAGAUGCAAAGCUGCCAUGGAAACAUAUGGAGCAGCCCCCGUCUCCAUCUAGCAGCCCACUUGAUACUUCUCACCAGGAGCAGCCCCCGUCUCCAUCUAGCAGCCCGCUUGAUACUUCUCACCACGAGCAGCCCCUGUCUCCAUCUAGCAGCCCACUUGAUACUUCUCACCAGGAGCAGCCCCUGUCUCCAUCUAGCAGCCCACUCGAUACUUCUCACCAGGAGCAGCCCCCGUCUCCAUCAAGCAGCCCACUUGAUACUUCUCACCAGGAGCAGCCCCCGUCUCCAUCUAGCAGCCCGCUUGAUACUUCUCACCAGGAGCAGCCCCCGUCUCCAUCUAGCAGCCCGCUUGAUACUUCUCACCAGGAGCAGCCCCCGUCUCCAUCUAGCAGCCCGCUUGAUACUUCUCACCAGGAGCAGCCCCCGUCUCCAUCUAGCAGCCCGCUUGAUACUUCUCACCAGGAGCAGCCCCUGUCUCCAUCUAGCAGCCCACUUGAUACCUUGUCUCAAAUUGUCCCUGAAUCACAUUACUUGCGGAUGCCAAAUGUCAGUGUAAGAAUGUCAGUUUAUCUCUCUUUUUCCUAUUCCUGGUUGCUUUUGGACUAUUCAGAACUCUGGGAGCACUGCCAUUACAAUGUGAACACUAUGCUGUUACAGAAAAGCAUGUAAAAAGUAUUGUUUUUCACAGGAUGAUGAUGUAUGUGUUUACCAUGAAAAGGUUAUCAAAAUUGCAAUUAUCAGGUAAAAGUCUAUACUUUUACAAUAUCUUUACUUUCUUAGGGUGGGAAAAAUUUGCCAAAUAACAUGUUUAGGGUAUCCUGAGACCGAAGUAUAAUUACUUAUUAAUGGUCUUUUUUGAAAUUUCAUGUGGUGGUCUUCACUUUAUUUUAUGACAGUGUCUCAUAAAAUGAAACUUGCAUGUAUACUUGGUUUUGUUUCAAAUAUUUCUCUGAAGUUUACAUCAGAAUAUAUUAUGUAAAUGAUAAUUAUAAUACCAAUAAUAAUAGAUAAAAAGAAACAAAAUUGUAGUAGGGCCCCCUAAAAAAUGUUACCCCCACAGGGCCCUUAUGGGUGCGUCGUGUGUCGUCCAUUGUGCGUAAACUUUGUACAUUUUAAUCUUCUUAUCCAGAACCAAUGAUAGGAUUCCAAUCAAACUUGACAGGAAUCAUCCUCAGGGGUAUAGGAACCAAAGUUGCUAAAAUGGUGGGCAUGGCCCCUAGGGGGCCCUGGGGGAUGACGCCAAAUGUAAAAAAUAUGUUAAUUGUAAACAUCUUCUUCUUAAGAUCCAGAACUAUGGUGUAAAGAUACCUCUAUUGAUACAGAAUGAAAGUUGUUCAUGACAUUUCUUUGGAUAGCCCCUGAGGGGGUCCUGUGGGGAUAACAUGUUGGGGGGAACUACCAGGUGAAAUGAGCAUUUUUUCUACUUCUUUUAAAUAAAUGAUUAUAUUUCAUCCAAAUGUGGUUGAAAUCAUUCUAAAGUGUAGGGGAUCCAUAGUUGCUUAUAAAUUACAAUUCAGCCCCAGGGGCCCAGUUGAAGGUCCCCAAGAGUAAUAAAUUAUGUAAAUGCCAAACAUCUACUCUAGAUCCAGAAGUAAGCCAUACCUGGUAUUAUGCUUACAGAUGCCUCAAUUUAUGAAGAAUACACAUUGUUCAUGACAUUUAUGUGGGUGGCCCCUGAGGGGCCAAGUGGGGGUAACUUGGGGGGGGGGGGGGGGGGUGGCCUCCAGGAGAAACGAACAUUUUCAUAUCUCCUGUGGGUGCCAGAGAGAACAUGCGCCAGAUGUGAAUUGAUCGACCUCGGGUGAACGUUGUGCCCCCCUAGGGCUCUUGUUUGUUUCAGAUGCUUCUCUGUUAAUGAGAUUUUUUAUUCUCUCUUACAAUCUAUUGUAAAAAGUUGCAAUGUUAUAAAACUUCUUUGUGUGUUAAGUUGAAAUGGCAUUUAUAUCAAGUUGUUAGAAUGUUUCUCAUGUUUGUAAAUAUGGAAAUCCUGUUAAUUCUGGUUGAUGUUUGAGGAUUCAGAAGCCCAGAUGCACUGCCAUUCACGAUGUGGACAGUGCUGGUGUUUUUUUUCAAAGAAGGAUGAUGUAUAUGUUUAUGUGAAAAGUUUAUCAAAAUUUGCAAAUAUCAAAGUAAAAGGCUAUACAGUACAAUGUACUUUAAAAUUAGCGCUAUCUUUUGAGGGUUGGAAAACCUGAUCAAAUAAUAUGUCAUUAGAGUUUCCUUAGACUAAAGUACAUGUAUAAUUUAUUAUUCACAGUCCAUUUUGAAUUAAGAAAGUGUGAUGAGGCAUUAGAAAAUAUGCAUAAGGUAUUUCAUGAACGCAGGAUAUAAUUCUGAAAUUUCAGUCAUUAGUACAGAAUAAAGAACGGCCAUUCCGACAAUUUAACACCUUCUAAAAUUCUGUUUUAUCUGAAAUUUAGGUCAUUUGUUUUAACAUAACAUUCAUAUAGAAGUUUUAAAUGUACAGGGGUCUCCUACACACCAGGAAUCUCCUUGUUCCUAUUGUAUUAUAGGAAAAGCUGAGCCGUACAAACAUUUCGAUGUUGUUAUUGUAUCUGUAACUUUUUAGUAAGAUUAUCUUAAGGGCAUUUUCCAUACAUACUGGAAAGAAAAUAUUCAAAAUAAUUUGCAGAAAAGGUGGAAAUAUUGAAUAUUUGUAGAGCUGCACUAUGCACAUCACAAACCCUGUGUUGUUACUGCAUUAAAUUUAAAGAUAUA